CUCGAGUGGCGAACGGGUGAGUAACACGUGGGUGAUCUGCCCUGCACUUCGGGAUAAGCUUGGGAAACUGGGUCUAAUACCGGAUAGGAACCAUCUUUAGUGUGGUGGUUGGAAAGUUUUUUCGGUGUAGGAUGAGCUCGCGGCCUAUCAGCUUGUUGGUGGGGUAAUGGCCUACCAAGGCGGCGACGGGUAGCCGGCCUGAGAGGGUGUACGGCCACAUUGGGACUGAGAUACGGCCCAGACUCCUACGGGAGGCAGCAGUGGGGAAUAUUGCACAAUGGGCGCAAGCCUGAUGCAGCGACGCCGCGUGGGGGAUGAAGGCCUUCGGGUUGUAAACUCCUUUCGCUAGGGACGGAGCUUUUUGUGACGGUACCUAGAUAAGAAGCACCGGCUAACUACGUGCCAGCAGCCGCGGUAAUACGUAGGGUGCGAGCGUUGUCCGGAAUUACUGGGCGUAAAGGGCUCGUAGGUGGUUUGUCGCGUCGUCUGUGAAAUUCUGGGGCUUAACUCCGGGCGUGCAGGCGAUACGGGCAUAACUUGAGUGCUGUAGGGGUAACUGGAAUUCCUGGUGUAGCGGUGAAAUGCGCAGAUAUCAGGAGGACACCGAUGGCGAAGGCAGGUUACUGGGCAGUU
Molecule: ribosomal RNA, 633 nt
Filed under: uncultured Actinomycetales bacterium
Lineage: Bacteria; Bacillati; Actinomycetota; Actinomycetes; Actinomycetales
Description: bacterial SSU rRNA
Rfam family: Bacterial small subunit ribosomal RNA
Source: RNAcentral